CCCAGCUUCGAGAGCCUUCCAGCUGAGACAAAACCACGAAACCGAAACAGCCAACCCUAGAAUCGCUCGUUUCCUGUCCCUCCUCCUGUGUGCGGCGCCGCCGCUGCGCACAGGCCACAUCUCCUCGCCCUCCUCCACAUCUCCGGCCAAAGCGCUCACUUCUCCGGCCCUCCUCCACAUCUCCUCGCCUCCACCCCAUCCACUUCCUGUCCAAGACUAUGGCAACGGAGCUCGGCGGUUGCGGCCCUUCUCCAAGACUGCAGCGUGGUGCUCGGCGGCUGCGGCAACGGAGCUGAUGGAGCGCGAGCCGACCAGUUCAACGGAGGCGGUAGCACGGGGCAGCGGCAGCAGCAUGGAGGGCGUCCGCUUGACUGGAAAGAGAAAGUAUUUGUUGAUAGUGAGAGUGAGGAUAAUGAUGGGGUGAGUGAGGAUGGGGAAGAUGCUCCAUCCAUGCAUGAUCAGCAAGAGGCGCAAAUGCAAGUGGAAAAAGAGACACAAAUUCAAGUGGAAAAGGACGCACCACCAACAGAUGGCAAUUUGGAGACCCGUAGAUCUGUACGGCUUGUCAAGAAGAAGACCAAGGGCGUCAACAGCCUAUACCCGCUGCUUAGAAAUCUGCUGGCAAAUAUCUUCUUUCUAGUGUUUUAUGAUUCAUGAUAAUUGCUUAGAAAAUUUUAGUUACUUGGAGCUGCUAGUUUCUUAGAUGUAUAAACUUUCUAUCCAUGCCUAGCCUUCGUUGUCAUGUUAAGCAAUGUAUUUAUGUUGUCCUGAAAUGUUACCACUUGACUAUUGUUGCACUAGACACCUCCCUGUUAGUCCAUUUUAUUUCAUUAUGCACAAAGUGGAAGAAGAAAAUUCUGAUGUUGAACUACAUCUAUCCUGAUCCUUUCUUUGUUUUCUCUAUAUGAACUAGAAAUGCCACAUAAAGAACUAAGGAUAUCAAGAAGCUUUUGGAUGUAUGCAAGCUUGGAGCUGCUGUUUUAUAGAAAUGACACUUGACGAAUAACCAAGGAUAUCAAGAAGCUUUUGGAUGUAGGCAAGCUUGGAGCUGCUGUUUCAAUGUCAUGCUUUGAUAGUUGUCUUUUGGAGCUGUUGUUUCUAUGUGUAAUACUUUAAGUCUGUUGGCUGUACCGGACUAUUUAAACUCUGAACUAUGUUGUGAUGGUUGAACUGAUGUUGGACUGUUAAGGGUUAUGUUGGAGGCCACUUUAUAACUAAUGUGUGCCUGUUAUGUUGGACAGAUGCAGUUUUAUUAAUCCCUAG
Molecule: ribosomal RNA, 1263 nt
Filed under: Triticum aestivum (bread wheat)
Lineage: Eukaryota; Viridiplantae; Streptophyta; Magnoliopsida; Poales; Poaceae
Description: partial small subunit ribosomal RNA
Source: RNAcentral